This 491-nucleotide ribosomal RNA is filed under the name uncultured bacterium. RNAcentral's name for it is "partial 16S ribosomal RNA". It matches the Rfam family "Bacterial small subunit ribosomal RNA", at positions 29 to 506 of the family's 1533-position model. The record is from RNAcentral.
AGUGAACGCUGGCGGUAGGCCUAACACAUGCAAGUCGAACGGCAGCACAGUAAGAGCUUGCUCUUACGGGUGGCGAGUGGCGGACGGGUGAGGAAUACAUCGGAAUCUACUUUUUCGUGGGGGAUAACGUAGGGAAACUUACGCUAAUACCGCAUACGACCUACGGGUGAAAGCAGGGGAUCUUCGGACCUUGCGCGAUUGAAUGAGCCGAUGUCGGAUUAGCUAGUUGGCGGGGUAAAGGCCCACCAAGGCGACGAUCCGUAGCUGGUCUGAGAGGAUGAUCAGCCACACUGGAACUGAGACACGGUCCAGACUCCUACGGGAGGCAGCAGUGGGGAAUAUUGGACAAUGGGCGCAAGCCUGAUCCAGCCAUACCGCGUGGGUGAAGAAGGCCUUCGGGUUGUAAAGCCCUUUUGUUGGGAAAGAAAAGCAGCAGGUUAAUACCCCGCUGUUCGGACGGUACCCAAAGAAUAAGCACCGGCUAACUGCGG